GAUGAACGCUGGCGGCGUGCUUAACACAUGCAAGUCGAACGAAGCACUUUAUUUGGUUUCCUUCGGGACUGAUUAUUUUGUGACUGAGUGGCGGACGGGUGAGUAACGCGUGGGUAACCUGCCUUGUACAGGGGGAUAACAGUUGGAAACGGCUGCUAAUACCGCAUAAGCGCACAGCAUCGCAUGAUGCAGUGUGAAAAACUCCGGUGGUAUAAGAUGGACCCGCGUUGGAUUAGCUAGUUGGUGAGGUAACGGCCCACCAAGGCGACGAUCCAUAGCCGACCUGAGAGGGUGACCGGCCACAUUGGGACUGAGACACGGCCCAAACUCCUACGGGAGGCAGCAGUGGGGAAUAUUGCACAAUGGGCGAAAGCCUGAUGCAGCGACGCCGCGUGAGCGAAGAAGUAUUUCGGUAUGUAAAGCUCUAUCAGCAGGGAAGAUAAUGACGGUACCUGACUAAGAAGCACCGGCUAAAUACGUG
Molecule: ribosomal RNA, 481 nt
Filed under: uncultured bacterium
Lineage: Bacteria
Description: partial 16S ribosomal RNA
Rfam family: Bacterial small subunit ribosomal RNA
Source: RNAcentral